UCUUACUCCGAUUUGGCUAGCUCUGAUACCAGAUGAUACGCCCCGGCCUCGGUGAUGAGAGUCGAGCCGUUGAUGUACCCGAUCGUGAAUUGGAGUAAUAUCAAGGUUUGUCGAAGAUAGGUUAAGAAAGAAGGGAUAAAGGCUCAAAUUUAGUUCAAAAGGGGUUAUGAAGUGUAUUGAGGAUGAUAGGUGAAUGAAA
This 199-nucleotide long non-coding RNA is filed under the name Gossypium barbadense (sea-island cotton). RNAcentral's name for it is "long non-coding RNA (GBAR_LNC006843)". The record is from RNAcentral. Lineage: Eukaryota; Viridiplantae; Streptophyta; Magnoliopsida; Malvales; Malvaceae.